AACGCGAAGAACCUUACCUACUCUUGACAUCCAGAGAACUUUCCAGAGAUGGAUUGGUGCCUUCGGGAACUCUGAGACAGGUGCUGCAUGGCUGUCGUCAGCUCGUGUUGUGAAAUGUUGGGUUAAGUCCCGCAACGAGCGCAACCCUUAUCCUUUGUUGCCAGCGGUUCGGCCGGGAACUCAAAGGAGACUGCCAGUGAUAAACUGGAGGAAGGUGGGGAUGACGUCAAGUCAUCAUGGCCCUUACGAGUAGGGCUACACACGUGCUACAAUGGCGCAUACAAAGAGAAGCGACCUCGCGAGAGCAAGCGGACCUUAUAAAGUGCGUCGUAGUCCGGAUUGGAGUCUGCAACUCGACUCCAUGAAGUCGGAAUCGCUAGUAAUCGUAGAUCAGAAUGCUACGGUGAAUACGUUCCCGGGUCUUGUACACACCG
Molecule: ribosomal RNA, 434 nt
Filed under: uncultured Enterobacter sp.
Lineage: Bacteria; Pseudomonadati; Pseudomonadota; Gammaproteobacteria; Enterobacterales; Enterobacteriaceae
Description: bacterial SSU rRNA
Rfam family: Bacterial small subunit ribosomal RNA
Source: RNAcentral